This 453-nucleotide ribosomal RNA is filed under the name uncultured bacterium. RNAcentral's name for it is "bacterial SSU rRNA". It matches the Rfam family "Bacterial small subunit ribosomal RNA", at positions 340 to 786 of the family's 1533-position model. The record is from RNAcentral.
UACGGGAGGCAGCAGUGGGGAAUAUUGCACAAUGGGCGCAAGCCUGAUGCAGCCAUGCCGCGUGUAUGAAGAAGGCCUUCGGGUUGUAAAGUACUUUCAGUCGUGAGGAAGGUGUUAAGGUUAAUAACCUUAGCAAUUGACGUUAGCGACAGAAGAAGCACUGGCUAACUCCGUGCCAGCAGCCGCGGUAAUACGGAGGGUGCGAGCGUUAAUCGGAAUUACUGGGCGUAAAGGGCACGCAGGCGGUUAAUUAAGUUGGAUGUGAAAUCCCCGGGCUUAACCUGGGAAUGGCAUUCAAGACUGGUUAGCUAGAGUCUUGUAGAGGGGGUUAGAAUUCCAUGUGUAGCGGUGAAAUGCGUAGAGAUGUGGAGGAAUACCGGUGGCGAAGGCGGCCCCUGGGACAAGACUGACGCUCAUGUGCGAAAGCUGGGGAGCAAACAGGAUUAGGAUACC